Molecule: long non-coding RNA, 876 nt
Organism: Sarcophilus harrisii (Tasmanian devil)
Lineage: Eukaryota; Metazoa; Chordata; Mammalia; Dasyuromorphia; Dasyuridae
Exons: 2
Source: RefSeq, a predicted model, not a curated record
GGGGAAAACUGCAAGAGAAUAAUCCUUCCCCGCUUGGGCGCUGGUGGCUUUGUUCGGGGUUUCGGACUUAGAGUUCCCCCUUUUCUCUGGACCCCAGUUUCCUAUAAAAGCCCAACCUUUUUUUUUAAAACAAAAUAUGAAGACCUCCUUUUUUUUUUUUUUUUUUUAAACAAAAAUUCCCCUCACCUUGAACAGAACAUAUUAACAUCCCUCUCCUCAAACUGUCGUCUUGAAUCUGCCUUUUCAGCUACUGGCUCUCUGGGAAAGCUUCCUGCUUCGGAACCUGCUCCUUCUCCUCUCCCUCCUAACUAAGCUUUACCAACAGACAGCUGACCUCGCCCACCAGCUCCAAUGGGCACUCAUUUUUUGCCUGCCGCGUGCCGGGCGCCUUGGUCGGUGCUGGUAAUUUGAGAAUAAAGAAUGAAACAAAAAGGUGCCAAAGAGCCGACUUCCUAACAAGGCGAAGAAGAACCUCCACGGGGAUGUGUGUGCAUGUGCAGAUGCAGAGAAUGGAGUCUAAAACAUUGAGAGUUUCAAACUCCAGGAGAACAAGCAACAGGGAGUACAAGGAAUCCAGAUGAAGUUUUGCAACAAUUCAGCAUCAAUGCUGCAGCAAGCAAGGGAUUAUUCAGGACUCCAUCCAGCCCAGCAAAAGGACUCCUUGGGCAAUGAUGGCCACUUUUGGCUAUGAACUUGGUGGGAUCAAUGCUAUGUAGGGACUGAACUCAAUUUUGAAUCUAAUUUCCAUUUCUUUCUCUUUUUCACCCCCUCCACUAAAAUGAUAUAAUGGGAAUUAUGAUCCAUGCAUUCUGUUGGGAGAAAAUUUUUUACAUUUGUUCUUGUUAUGUCUUUGAGAUAAAUAUCCCUUUGUAAAAG